Molecule: small RNA, 28 nt
Filed under: Bombyx mori (domestic silkworm)
Lineage: Eukaryota; Metazoa; Arthropoda; Insecta; Lepidoptera; Bombycidae
Description: ovarian small RNA-22712
Source: RNAcentral
UAGGCUUGGAUUUGGUUGUCUGCCGUGG